This 995-nucleotide small RNA is filed under the name Pan troglodytes (chimpanzee). RNAcentral describes it as "retained intron". The record is from RNAcentral. Lineage: Eukaryota; Metazoa; Chordata; Mammalia; Primates; Hominidae.
UAUGGUUUGAAGUGGUGAACAUGGAUUUUUCUCGGCUUCACAUGUACAGUCCUCCCCAGUGUGUGCCGGAGAACACGGGCUACACGUAUGCGCUCAGUUCCAGCUAUUCUUCAGAUGCUCUGGAUUUUGAGACGGAGCACAAAUUGGACCCUGUAUUUGAUUCUCCACGGAUGUCCCGCCGUAGUUUGCGCCUGGCCACGACAGCAUGCACCCUGGGGGAUGGUGAGGCUGUGGGUGCCAACAGCGGCACCAGCAGCGCUGUCUCCCUGAAGAACCGAGCGGCCAGAACAGCAAAACAGCGCAGAAGCACAAACAAAUCAGCUUUUAGUAUCAACCACGUGUCAAGGCAGGUCACAUCCUCUGGCGUCAGCCAUGGCGGCACUGUCAGCCUGCAGGAUGCUGUGACUCGACGGCCUCCUGUAUUGGACGAGUCUUGGAUUCGUGAACAGACUACAGUGGACCACUUCUGGGGUCUUGAUGAUGAUGGUGAUCUUAAAGGUGGAAAUAAAGCUGCCAUUCAGGGAAACGGGGAUGUGGGAGCCGCCGCCGCCGCCUCCGCGCACAACGGCUUCUCCUGCAGCAACUGCAGCAUGCUGUCCGAGCGCAAGGACGUGCUCACGGCGCACCCCGCGGCCCCCGGGCCCGUGUCGAGAGUUUAUUCUAGGGACAGGAAUCAAAAAUGUAAGUCUCAGUCCUUUAAAACUCAGAAAAAGAUGUGUUUUCCAAAUUUAAUAUUUCCUUUCUGUAAGUCUCAGUGUCUGCACUAUUUGUCUUGGAGACUUAAAAUUAUCCCUUGAAAGCAUAAGAAGUACACCCCAAACCAGCUUUGUCCUUCCUGUCCUCUUCUAGUUUACAUUUUAUGUGGUUAGUAAUUUUGUACCUAAAAGUAUUUGAAAUUCUAUAAAUUUGGACUUGACGUGAGCAAAAGAAAAUUUCUACGUAAGCGAAACUAAUAAAACUACAGUCACUUUCAGAUGCACACCUUUAUUUUUAUA